UACGUAGGGUGCAAGCGUUGUCCGGAAUUAUUGGGCGUAAAGAGCUCGUAGGCGGUUUGUCGCGUCGAAUGUGAAAACCCGGGGCUCAACCCCGGGCCUGCAUUCGAUACGGGCAGACUAGAGUUCGGUAGGGGAGUCUGGAAUUCCUGGUGUAGCGGUGAAAUGCGCAGAUAUCAGGAGGAACACCGGUGGCGAAGGCGGGUCUCUGGGACGUUACUGACGCUGAGACGCGAAAGCGUGGGGAGCAAACAGG
This 253-nucleotide ribosomal RNA is filed under the name uncultured bacterium. RNAcentral describes it as "partial 16S ribosomal RNA". It matches the Rfam family "Bacterial small subunit ribosomal RNA", at positions 524 to 776 of the family's 1533-position model. The record is from RNAcentral.